GACGAACGCUGGCGGCGUGCCUAAUACAUGCAAGUUGAGCGCUGAAGGUUGGUACUUGUACCCACUGGAUGAGCAGCGAACGGGUGAGUAACGCGUGGGGAAUCUGCCUUUGAGCGGGGGACAACAUUUGGAAACGAAUGCUAAUACCGCAUAAAAACUUUAAACACAAGUUUUAAGUUUGAAAGAUGCAAUUGCAUCACUCAAAGAUGAUCCCGCGUUGUAUUAGCUAGUUGGUGAGGUAAAGGCUCACCAAGGCGAUGAUACAUAGCCGACCUGAGAGGGUGAUCGGCCACAUUGGGACUGAGACACGGCCCAAACUCCUACGGGAGGCAGCAGUAGGGAAUCAUCGGCAAUGGACGAAAGGCUGACCGAGCAACGCCGCGUGAGUGAAGAAGGUUUUCGGAUCGUAAAACUCUGUUGGUAGAGAAGAACGUUGGUGAGAGUGGAAAGCUCAUCAAGUGACGGUAACUACCCAGAAAGGGACGGCUAACUACGUG
Molecule: ribosomal RNA, 497 nt
Filed under: uncultured bacterium
Lineage: Bacteria
Description: partial 16S ribosomal RNA
Rfam family: Bacterial small subunit ribosomal RNA
Source: RNAcentral